GGAUCCCAACGAUGGAUCCUUCAACUGACGGAAGACAGAAA
Molecule: non-coding RNA, 41 nt
Filed under: Rhodobacter ferrooxidans
Lineage: Bacteria; Pseudomonadati; Pseudomonadota; Alphaproteobacteria; Rhodobacterales
Source: RNAcentral